Girardinichthys multiradiatus is the source of this 2619-nucleotide long non-coding RNA. RefSeq lists it as uncharacterized. The record is from RefSeq and is a predicted model, not a curated record. NCBI's taxonomy places the organism in Eukaryota, Metazoa, Chordata, Actinopteri, Cyprinodontiformes, Goodeidae. The transcript is spliced from 6 exons.
UUAAAAAGACAAAAACAGAUUUGGUGUCUUACAUAAGGUUUUAACCAGUAUAAUAUUUGGAUACUGAAUAAGGGAAAAUAUGAUGAAGCUCAAAUGUUACACCUUGCAAGAUAAUCAGUCCUAAAAUCACCUUGCUGUAAAGUAUCUUGCUGUUACUAGUUAGCUGUAAUACCCAAGUGAUCAAAAAAAUGUUUCCUGUUAUAAGAAUUCUUGUGAGCAAGACUGCCAUGCAACUUUACAGUAACCUUGAGCAAAUCAGAAGCAAGAAGCAUAAUUCAACAAAACCUGAAGGACAAGUGGCAGAAAGAAGCAAUCAUAAGAUUCAAAGGAAGGUUGGAGAAGGAGAAACAAGAGAAAAGAGAAAGAUUUGGACAACCUGGUCUCAACAAAACACUAUUCAGAAUACGUCAACAUGAUGUCAACGUUGUGGUGACAGUGAGCCAACAUGUAAUUUUAGUAUGUCAGAGACAUGGGAGAGAGAGAUGUAUAGAAGAAGAAUUUAGAAAAAAUAAAGUAACAUUUAACGUGAUAAAUAUACUGCAAAAAAAAAAAAAAAAAAAAAUCAGGAAGUAAAAUGAUCAAAAUUCUUAUUAAGUUCUAUUAGUAGGGUAUGAUUAUCAAGAGUACAUUCACAAAUAAACAUUUUGUUCCACACCAGUAAGUGGCGGUAAUGCACACUGUCUGAAUUUACCACCCCCCCAAAAAAAGAAGAAGAAGAAACCCGCGAAGCAGCGUUUGAAAUUUCGCAAUGGCUUUUCAAAACGUCCAAUUAACGGCCUCCAUAUUCAAACGUUUGACCCAAAAUACGGCUUGCUGCUGGAGAAUUUAGGCGAUUUUGUGUUAAAGUUCCGCGUAGAUGUUUUGGAAAGCGGUUAAAAUCCCCUUUAAGCCACAGUUGUAAACACAAGGUGGCGGUAAUACACCUCAAAGCUGUUUGACAACGGUCCUUAAGGGAAAGAAGAAGACUCGCGCUGGUAAAUCAACCAGCCACGUGUUUUGAAAUGAAAAAAUCUGUUACUCGAAAAGCAGACCUCAGUAACUACAAGGAACUUCUCUCAAAGGAGUAGAAAAAUGCGUUUACUAGCAGCCAUGGUGGAUUUCGCUGAAUGGAUUAUGCACCCCUUCGGUUUCAACUUGGAGUGCAAGUCUAGAGCCUGGAAGCGAAAGAAAAAUCUGUGAAGAUUCAAAGGCGUGAACUGGAAUGUCUUCAUCUCCAAAGGACACAAGAUUGAAGGUAACACUGGGAACAGGAUGUUUUUAGUCCAGAAUGCAUCCUGCUCACAAGUGUUCAUAGAUUGGGUUAAAGAAGUCCAUUGCUGAGUCCUCCUGUUUCCUGCAGGCUUCCAGCCUUCCUUUUAAAUCCUGCCAUCUGUGAGCAGUUCAUAUAGCCCAGGUGACUGGACCACCAUGCUGCACAGAUGUUGAAGUCGUGAUUCAGAGCAACGUAUCUGAGGUUCUGGUCAACAUGAACGACUUCAGGAAGAUUCAAGCUCAAUACUUUUCAGCUUUGCUGCAUUUUUUGUUUAGUUUUUUUGUUUGUGUCCUGUGUCAAAUCUGUCGCUUCUAUAACAAGACAUUUUCUGAAGGUAAUAAACAGUAAUACAUUUGCUAAAUACCAUGUUGGCAACAGCUUUUGUUAAUGUGACAUUGUAAUCCUUUGAGCCCCACCAGUCGCAUCUCGCUGUUCUUCUCUUGGUGUUUUUGUGGCGGUGACAGUUUGUCAGAGGGGAUUGCAGGUUCAGGGGAUUGUCUUGCAUCAGCGACCACUGCAUUUAAACGUUUGCAUUUUGCUUUUGUCAGCCAGACAGGUUUCAUAAUGCAGGAAUGCUUUUGGUUGGGAGUAUAUUGGGAUUGUGAUGAAUGCACUUCACAAGAAAUGCUGCAAGCAAAAAUAAUGUUGCAGGGUGAUAAAACAAUUUAAAUAUUUUAGUGAGGAACAAAAAAUGACAAAAUCAAUGAUAGACAUGUUUUAAAAUUCAAUAAGACAGUAUGUAGGUCCACCAUUUUUACAAGAUGGAGAAGAAAUUUCGAUGAAUAAACUGGAUUUUUCUUGAACAGAAGAGCAAAUGGGUUUGUACAACAAUAUAUUGCUACUAGAGAAGGAAUCAUUUUUACUUCUUCACAUGUAAUCCAUAAUGUCCCACAAUGCUUAACAGAACAGUGUUUAUGGCAAGUUUUAUAAAAUGAAAUCUCUGUUAUUAAGUUUUAAUUCUUUCAGUUUGUAUUGAAACAUAUUCUAUAUUUGAAACUGUAUCGUGAUAUUUAUUAAAUUCAAUUAAUACAUUGAAAAAAAAAUCUUUUCUCCCUAUCAGCCAGCUCUAAUUCCACUUCUUACCUGCAAGAACACAUGCACUGUGUCGUUACUAAGAAAACCUGAAGAAACCAAUAAAAGGCGACAGAUUAUUUUUGUAACCGAAACACUUUUUUUUUUUUUUUCGGUUCUGAUGUGAUGACACAGUUGCGAGGUUCCUGGGAUAAUUAGAUUUUCUUUGUAAAAUGUGCAUGUCUCUCCUAAGGCCCAUUUUUAUAACACUUUAAUGACAUGUUUUUGGCUAGUUUCUAGAUCUAUAACCAAUGAGAUGAACUCUGGAAAUUGUAAUAAACUCCUUCAGACAUCUA